AUUGAACGCUGGCGGCAGGCCUAACACAUGCAAGUCGAGCGGAUGAAGGGAGCUUGCUCCUGGAUUCAGCGGCGGACGGGUGUGUAAUGCCUAGGAAUCUGCCUGGUAGUGGGGGAUAACGUCCGGAAACGGGCGCUAAUACUGCAUACGACCUGAGGGUGAAAGUGGGGGAUCUUUGGACCUCUCGCUAUCAGAUGAGCCUAGGUCGGAUUAGCUAGUUGGUGGGGUAAAGGCCUACCAAGGCGACGAUCCGUAACUGGUCUGAGAGGAUGAUCAGUCACACUGGAACUGAGACACGGUCCAGACUCCUACGGGAGGCAGCAGUGGGGAAUAUUGGACAAUGGGCGAAAGCCUGAUCCAGCCAUGCCGCGUGUGUGAAGAAGGUCUUCGGAUUGUAAAGCACUUUAAGUUGGGAGGAAGGGCAGUAAGUUAAUACCUUGCUGUUUUGACGGUACCAACAGAAUAAGCACCGGCUAACUUCGUG
RNAcentral lists this ribosomal RNA (484 nucleotides) under uncultured bacterium. RNAcentral's name for it is "partial 16S ribosomal RNA". It matches the Rfam family "Bacterial small subunit ribosomal RNA", at positions 30 to 507 of the family's 1533-position model. The record is from RNAcentral.